AGUGAACGCUGGCGGCAGGCCUAACACAUGCAAGUCGAACGGAAGCACAGUAAGCUUUUGCUCUUACGGGUGGCGAGUGGCGGACGGGUGAGGCAUACAUCGGAAUCUUCUUUUUCGUGGGGGAUAAUGUAGGGAAAGUUACGCUAAUACCGCAUACGACCUACGGGUGAAAGCAGUGGAUCUUCGGACCUUUCGCGUCUGUAUGAGCCGAUUACGGGCUAGCUAGUUGGCGGGGUAAAGGCCCACCAAGGCGACGAACCGUAGCUGGUCUGAGAGGAUGAUCGGCCACACUGGAACUGAGACACGGUCCAGACUCCUACGGGAGGCGGCAGUAGGGAAUAUUGGACAAUGGGCGCAAGCCUGAUCCAGCAAUACCGCGUGAGUGAAGAAGGCCUUCGGGUUGUAAAGCCCUUUUGUUGGGAAAGAAAAGCAGCAGGUUAAUACACGGCUGUUCCGACGGUACCCAAAGAAUAAGCACCGGCUAACUUCGUG
This 492-nucleotide ribosomal RNA is filed under the name uncultured bacterium. Its description in RNAcentral is "partial 16S ribosomal RNA". It matches the Rfam family "Bacterial small subunit ribosomal RNA", at positions 29 to 507 of the family's 1533-position model. The record is from RNAcentral.